This 253-nucleotide ribosomal RNA is filed under the name uncultured bacterium. Its description in RNAcentral is "partial 16S ribosomal RNA". It matches the Rfam family "Bacterial small subunit ribosomal RNA", at positions 524 to 776 of the family's 1533-position model. The record is from RNAcentral.
UACGUAGGAGACAAACGUUAUCCGGAGUUACUGGGCGUAAAGGGCGUGUAGGUGGUUUCGUAAGUCUGGCGUGAAAUUUCUCGGCUUAACCGAGGCAGGUCGUCGGAUACUGCGGAACUUGAGGACGGUAGAGGCGUGUGGAAUUCCGGGUGUAGUGGUGAAAUGCGUAGAGAUCCGGAGGAACACCAGUGGCGAAGGCGACACGCUGGGCCGUACCUGACACUGAUGCGCGACAGCAUGGGGAGCAAACAGG